Molecule: long non-coding RNA, 325 nt
Organism: Dermacentor albipictus
Lineage: Eukaryota; Metazoa; Arthropoda; Arachnida; Ixodida; Ixodidae
Source: RefSeq, a predicted model, not a curated record
CGAGUUCCAGCCGCAAUACGCUCGUCGACUUGCUUGUAGCAUCCGUGCUUCAGAUCUUAGCAGCGAUGGCGAACUUUUCCGGCCUCUUCAUGUUGGUUGCUUCUGGGAUUGCUGCUCAGCUCCUGGCUUACCCGGCGGGCGCCAUUGGAUUGCCGUUGAUGAUGCUGUGUAUCCUACGAGGCCGUGCGGACGUUCCGACAACUGAAGACGCUUGAGGCGAACACGUGAAGGAACCGACGCGCAUACUGGGAGCAGACGCGAUGUCUAGGUGGAGGCUUAGUAGAACGAGAACCAUAUAAUGUGCACACCAUGAUGUGAGACUUCG